This 340-nucleotide ribosomal RNA is filed under the name Nocticanace arnaudi. Its description in RNAcentral is "SSU rRNA". It matches the Rfam family "Eukaryotic small subunit ribosomal RNA", at positions 1161 to 1452 of the family's 1831-position model. The record is from RNAcentral. Lineage: Eukaryota; Metazoa; Arthropoda; Insecta; Diptera; Canacidae.
AGGGCACCACCAGGAGUGGAGCCUGCGGCUUAACAUAAGUGUGUAAGACAGAUUGAUAGCUCUUUCUCGAAUCUAUGGGUGGUGGUGCAUGGCCGUUCUUAGUUCGUGGAGUGAUUUGUCUGGUUAAUUCCGAUAACGAACGAGACUCAAAUAUAUUAAAUAGAUGCUUUCAGGAUUAUGGUGUUGAAACUUUAUAUAGCCUUCAAUCAUAAAUGCAGUAAAAUGUACGAGUGCUUGAAUGUGUUAUGUAAGUGGAGCCGUACCUGUUGGUUUGUCCUAUUAUAAGGGACACUAGCUUCUUAAAUGGACAAAUUGCGUCUAGCAAUAAUGAGAUUGAGCA